UAGGGAAUCUUCCGCAAUGGACGCAAGUCUGACGGAGCAACGCCGCGUGAGUGAAGAAGGAUUUCGGUUCGUAAAACUCUGUUGUUAGAGAAGAACAGCGCAUAGAGUAACUGUUAUGCGUGUGACGGUAUCUAACCAGAAAGCCACGGCUAACUACGUGCCAGCAGCCGCGGUAAUACGUAGGUGGCAAGCGUUGUCCGGAUUUAUUGGGCGUAAAGCGAGCGCAGGCGGUCAAUUAAGUCUGAUGUGAAAGCCCCCGGCUCAACCGGGGAGGGUCAUUGGAAACUGGUUGACUUGAGUGCAGAAGAGGAAGGUGGAGUUCCAUGUGUAGCGGUGAGAUGCGUAGAUAUAUGGAGGAACACCGGUGGCGAAGGCGACUCUCUGGUCUGUAACUGACGCUGAGGCUCGAAAGCGUGGGGAGCGAACAGG
This 429-nucleotide ribosomal RNA is filed under the name Bacteroidota bacterium. RNAcentral's name for it is "Bacteroidetes bacterium partial 16S ribosomal RNA". It matches the Rfam family "Bacterial small subunit ribosomal RNA", at positions 355 to 776 of the family's 1533-position model. The record is from RNAcentral. Lineage: Bacteria; Pseudomonadati; Bacteroidota.